GAUGAACGCUGGCGGCGUGCCUAAUACAUGCAAGUCGAGCGAACAGACGAGGAGCUUGCUCCUCUGACGUUAGCGGCGGACGGGUGAGUAACACGUGGAUAACCUACCUAUAAGACUGGGAUAACUUCGUGAAACCGGAGCCAAUACCGGAUAAUAUAUUGAACCGCAUGGUUCAAUAGUGAAAGACGGUUUUGCUGUCACUUAUAGAUGGAUCCGCGCCGCAUUAGCUAGUUGGUAAGGUAACGGCUUACCAAGGCAACGAUGCGUAGCCGACCUGAGAGGGGGAUCGGCCACACUGGAACUGAGACACGGUCCAGGCUCCUACGGGAGGCAGCAGUAGGGAAUCUUCCGCAAUGGGCGAAAGCCUGACGGAGCAACGCCGCGUGGGUGAUGAAGGUCUUCGGAUCGUAAAACUCUGUUAUUAGGGAAGAACAAAUGUGUAAGUAACUAUGCACGUCUUGACGGUACCUAAUCAGAAAGCCACGGCUAACUACGUG
RNAcentral lists this ribosomal RNA (497 nucleotides) under uncultured bacterium. Its description in RNAcentral is "partial 16S ribosomal RNA". It matches the Rfam family "Bacterial small subunit ribosomal RNA", at positions 28 to 507 of the family's 1533-position model. The record is from RNAcentral.